CACGUAGGGUGCGAGCGUUGUCCGGAAUUAUUGGGCGUAAAGAGCUCGUAGGCGGUGUGUCGCGUCGGCCGUGAAAACCUGCAGCUUAACUGUGGGCGUGCGGUCGAUACGGGCAUCACUGGAGUUCGGCAGGGGAGACUGGAAUUCCUGGUGUAGCGGUGAAAUGCGCAGAUAUCAGGAGGAACACCGGUGGCGAAGGCGGGUCUCUGGGCCUGACCUGACGCUGAGGAGCGAAAGCGUGGGGAGCGAACAGG
Molecule: ribosomal RNA, 254 nt
Filed under: uncultured bacterium
Lineage: Bacteria
Description: partial 16S ribosomal RNA
Rfam family: Bacterial small subunit ribosomal RNA
Source: RNAcentral